RNAcentral lists this ribosomal RNA (253 nucleotides) under uncultured bacterium. RNAcentral's name for it is "partial 16S ribosomal RNA". It matches the Rfam family "Bacterial small subunit ribosomal RNA", at positions 524 to 776 of the family's 1533-position model. The record is from RNAcentral.
UACGAAGGGGGCUAGCGUUGCUCGGAAUUACUGGGCGUAAAGCGCACGUAGGCGGCUUGUUAAGUCAGGGGUGAAAUCCCGGGGCUCAACCCCGGAACUGCCUUUGAUACUGGGUAUCUCGAGUCCGGAAGAGGUGAGUGGAAUUCCGAGUGUAGAGGUGAAAUUCGUAGAUAUUCGCAAGAACACCAGUGGCGAAGGCGGCUCACUGGCCCGGUACUGACGCUGAGGUGCGAAAGCGUGGGGAGCAAACAGG